UGGGGAGUAUUGGACAAUGGGCGAAAGCCUGAUCCAGCCAUGCCGCAUGAGUGAAGAAGGCCUCUGGGUUGUAAAGCUCUUUUAGUGAGGAAGAUAAUGACGGUACUCACAGAAGAAGUCCUGGCUAACUCCGUGCCAGCAGCCGCGGUAAUACGGAGAGGGCUAGCGUUAUUCGGAAUUAUUGGGCGUAAAGGGCGCGUAGGCUGGUUAGUAAGUUAAAAGUGAAAUCCCGAGGCUUAACCUUGGAACUGCUUUUAAAACUGCUAACCUAGAGAUUGAAAGAGGAUAGAGGAAUUCCUAGUGUAGAGGUGAAAUUCGUAAAUAUUAGGAGGAACACCAGUGGCGAAGGCGUCUAUCUGGUUCAAAUCUGACGCUGAGGCGCGAAGGCGUGGGGAGCAAACA
RNAcentral lists this ribosomal RNA (402 nucleotides) under uncultured bacterium. RNAcentral describes it as "bacterial SSU rRNA". It matches the Rfam family "Bacterial small subunit ribosomal RNA", at positions 355 to 774 of the family's 1533-position model. The record is from RNAcentral.